This 253-nucleotide ribosomal RNA is filed under the name uncultured bacterium. Its description in RNAcentral is "partial 16S ribosomal RNA". It matches the Rfam family "Bacterial small subunit ribosomal RNA", at positions 524 to 776 of the family's 1533-position model. The record is from RNAcentral.
UACGUAGGGUGCAAGCGUUAAUCGGAAUUACUGGGCGUAAAGCGUGCGCAGGCGGUGAUGUAAGACAGUUGUGAAAUCCCCGGGCUCAACCUGGGAACUGCAUCUGUGACUGCAUCGCUGGAGUGCGGCAGAGGGGGAUGGAAUUCCGCGUGUAGCAGUGAAAUGCGUAGAGAUGCGGAGGAACACCGAUGGCGAAGGCAGCCCCCUGGGCCAACACUGACGCUCAGGCACGAAAGCGUGGGGAGCAAACAGG